AAACCCCUAAAUCUUCAGCCUAAAUCAUUUAGCCUCACAAUUUUCCUCAUCUCAUGAUGAUUCUUCAUCUUUCUUACAUCCCUUCAUCGUUGUCUUGUGAUCCUUUAUAUCUUUUAACGCUUCCUUCUUUCUCACAAUUCCAUUUUCUCACAAACCUCAAGUCCAAACCUCUUCAUCUGCUUUUUCCUCUUAAGGCACCAAACGAUCGCUGGUGUUAGGUUCCGAAGGCACCGAUGGUGAUUCAGUUCGUUGAUUGUUGUGUAGGUGGCAGAAUAGGUUGUUUUGGAUGGCUUGUGGAAUUCACAUAAUGGGCUAGGUCAGUAAUCUCAGUGAUGACCAAUUGAAACAGAGACUUGAUCAUAUGUGUAGCACACCUUGCCAGGCACUCUUUCUAUGGCUGAUGAACAUGUACGAUUAUGUAGACAAGAAAGCAUUGGUGCAAAAGCAAGUAAAGAUAUGGGUCAUGGCAGUUUGAGUUUCCAUUUCGGUAAUGAGUCGACGGGUUAGAUUUUCUGAUACUGAUUGGGGUUGUUGGCUGUGAUUUGAGAAAUAUAAACUAAGUCGGCUGAGCUCGAAAGUAUAAACCAAGUUGAAAACUUGAGCUCAACUCGACUUUAGAAAACUUGGCUUAGUUUGCCUCGAAUCUUGCUAUCCCGAUUUUGGCUUGCUUGUAUUGUUAAAACUUAAAGAAAAAAAAAAACUCUUGAUAUGAAGUGGACCGGAUAAUGAUGUAAAAUCGGGCUUAAAAUAUUAAUCAACUUUUAUUACUGCUAUAAAAUGAUAUAAGCUGGGGGUUAAUUUAAGUGAGCGAACCUUACCUCGAGCUAAGCAAUCUUCAAAUUUCGAGUCACUAUCUAUUUGAAUAGCACUACGAAUAUAUCUAAUUUGGUAUAUGCAUAUUUUGUUUAUUGCAUAGAAGACUUUUAUAUUUAAAGUCCUUCCUUUCAUCAUCAUUUUUUUUAAUUACUACGGGAAGUGAAUGGCAAUAUUAAGAUAUUAAGAUCAAUACAUAUCUACUAAGUUAAAGAACACUAUCUGUUGGUACUUGCAUACAUAUUAAUAUGUUUAUCAAAAUUUUAUUACAGUUUAUUAUUCAAUUUAUGUUUGAAUUCAUAAAGUAAUCAGUUUGAACUAACUACAAGUUACACUAUAAAAGUACAUGUGUUAGUAUGGUCACAAUAAUUAUAUUAUUUGUCAAAAUAUUUAUAGUUUUCACUAAAAAUAACGAUUAAAAUAAUCAAAUUAUUUAAAUGAUAUGUUCAUAUUAUAAAAAACAUGGUCAUGGGCAUUGGGUAAAUUCUCUUGCAUUAAGCACAGAGUACGUUCUUCGGACCAGUGAUGCAUUAGGGUUAUAAUUAGCAGAAUAGAUAUGUAUUUGUCUGAGUUUUAUCGCCGAUUUUGUAGUUUGAUGAUGAUAGCUUUUGUUGUAGUUCAGGUUGAUGAUCUAGGAAUUGUUUUCACCGAUCUGUAGUUACACAUUCUUUUACAAGUUAUGUGAUUAUAAUUAUGUUAUGCUGUUCAACUAAAGAUUCAAGUGGGUCCAUGUUUGCUUUCGUCCUCUCAAUAUAGUGUUCUUCUUCGACCACCGAAAUCUCCUCUUAGUCACAUGUUGGUACACCAGGUACAUUUUUUCCCAAUUAUUGUUAGGUGAUGUGGCCGAUUAUUGUUAGGUGAUGUAGGAGCUGCAUAAGAACUUCUGAAUCUCUUUCUAUUAUGUCAUAAUGUAGUCAAGGUACAUUCAUCAAACUCCACUAAAUUUCCCCAUUCAAAGAAGAAUAUAAAAAAUUUGAUUAAACCACCGGCCCUUUGAUUGAAACAACACACACCCAAAAGUUAGUUAUUUUGCUUAACUUGGCCUACAUGAAGUGUGGUUUUACUCAUAUGACACACUUUCUCUUUGUAUCACUUUUUAUUUUCAAACUAAAAUAAAUAUUAACCAACAUUUUAUUUCAUAGAAAACCCCUAAUUCGGGUUCGGGUGGCUUUGAAUUCCAUGGAUGGAGUACAUUAUAUUCGUGAGGUGGACUUGAAAUUAUGUGAGAGCUAUUAACAACUAUCUAAUGCUUUGGCCACGAUGUUUAGUGCAUUCACCAUGGGUACAUCCGUCUUUUGUUUCUUAAUUAUUGAAUUUAUUGUUAAGGUGUUUUCUCAAGCCAAUGUAUUUUUGUGUAUGAUGCUUAUUUUUGUGGGAAGAGUGGGAAGUGGAGCUCUUCGUAACACCACUAUAAUGAUCCAUCAACCCUUCGAUGGGUUGGGGGCAAGGUAAAGAUACGACUGUUCACACUAAGCAAAUUGUUCGUCUUUGGUAUUCGCUAAAUGCAUUAUAUGUAAAAGCUAAAUGCAUUAUAUGUAAAAGCAUAUGGGACAAAACAUCGAUGUAAUUCAAAAUAAUAUGGAUCGAGAUUGUUAUAUAACCCCGGAAGAAGCUAUAAGGAGCUUGGGAUCAUAGAAAAAUUGGGCGGUGAAGGCUGCCAUGGAUGUAUUUCUCAAGGUGCGCAUAAGGAAUUUGGCAUGUGUUAAUAGCAUAAUGGUUUUCAGACGUGAGAAUUCAAGAAAUGACUAUAGGUAUCCUGUCAAAGGAUGGCCAGACUUCAUGUGUUCAAAUGUGGAUGCAGUCACUCCAAGUUCAAGGUUGAAAAACAAUUCAACAGAUAUGAGCUGGAAAUGGGUCUUGUGAUGUUCUCAACAAGAAGGUUUAUGCAUGUAUGGGAAGCAUGUCUACCAAGUUACAAGCGAAUAGGUUUUGGAGUUACUUGAUGAGAGGCGAGGAAUUGUCGAUUGGUUAUCUUUAUGGUUUUAAAUGUUCAAGGAGCCAAGGGAAGCUAUUGGUUGCAAAACCUCCAAAACAUGCAGUAUCAAUUUAAAAUUGUCUUAA
RNA transcript from Helianthus annuus (common sunflower), 2874 nucleotides. RefSeq lists it as uncharacterized. The transcript is spliced from 7 exons. The record is from RefSeq and is a predicted model, not a curated record. NCBI's taxonomy places the organism in Eukaryota, Viridiplantae, Streptophyta, Magnoliopsida, Asterales, Asteraceae.